Astatotilapia calliptera (eastern happy) is the source of this 1000-nucleotide long non-coding RNA. The record is from Ensembl. Lineage: Eukaryota; Metazoa; Chordata; Actinopteri; Cichliformes; Cichlidae.
GUUUCACAUGCAUUCAAACCUGCAAGCAGCAACUGUGCAUUUAAAGAUCGAAGACACAAAGUUUGGUGGAUUUAUACAGGAGUUACUGCAUACCAGCCAUACACACACUCAUUUUUAGCAGCAGGGGAAUUUCACACCUCACAGUGUGCACCUGUCUUCCAUUGUAUGAAAAUAGCAGUCACAAUCCCCCACUCAAAUCCUAAAUGCAGUGCUCUGGUGACUAUUUAUUAUUUGUCAUAGUAAAUGAGCCCUGCACUAGUUGGAUUAAAACAACACUUUUUGCCCCCCUGGUGGUCCUCCUUGGGUCCUCGUACUCUGGGCCCUCUGGAUGUCUGGGACCUGGAUCUCCUCCAUACCUGCUUCAUGUCCUAGGGGACGGGGCUAUGGCUCCCCACACUCACUAGCAGAUCAUUACAUGGAGAAACCUUUUGAAUACAAGUGUGCUGAUCCACACAGGUGUUCACAGACACAAACUACAGCUUUCUUGGCUGCUGCCUCAAAGCACAUUGUGCCCUGUCGAUCUUGCGUGCUGCACAGUAACAUGUAAUAUUUAGUAUCUACUUUUAUCUCUCCUGUUAGCUAGUUUAUUGUGAUGGUGUUGUAUUUAUUAUGUUGCUCUUUUUUUGUUUGUUUUUCUUUUUUUUCUUCCCCUCUUUCUCACCAUCUCUUCCCCCCUCUAUUUUUUUCUCUUCCUCUUUCUUUCAUUCUUUCUCCCUGUCCUAUCCCCCAGUCAUGUCUGUCCUGUCUGUAACAACCGAAAAUCAAAUCAAAUAAAUACAUAAUUAUAAUAAAGGUCAAUCAAAUGGACCAAUAUGGCAAGGCCAUGAUAAUCCAGUUGGUAAAGUAAAUCCGCUUGGCAUCUUUCUUGGCCUUCAGACAACAAUUCUGAUGGCUAAACUGUCCUGUUUGGACAGGCAAAAAACAAACAAACCAAAAACACUUUCAGCCUUCAUCUUCACGUGCAUCUCAGCAUGCAACUAGUUAGCCCACUGUUGCAGUA